AAUACUAGCAGCUAGCUCUCUGCAACUCUCACAUGGUCGUCUACUUAAGCCAAGCAGGGCUGUGCCCGGUCAGUACCUGGAUGGGAGACCAAAUGGGAAAGCUAGGUUGCAGAAGUG
This is a non-coding RNA of Danio rerio (zebrafish), 117 nucleotides long. The record is from Rfam. Lineage: Eukaryota; Metazoa; Chordata; Actinopteri; Cypriniformes; Danionidae.